UAAGGGCUCACCAAGGCGACGAUCCCUAGCUGGUCUGAGAGGAUGAUCAGCCACACUGGAACUGAGACACGGUCCAGACUCCUACGGGAGGCAGCAGUGGGGAAUAUUGCACAAUGGGCGCAAGCCUGAUGCAGCCAUGCCGCGUGUAUGAAGAAGGCCUUCGGGUUGUAAAGUACUUUCAGCAGUGAGGAAGGCGGAGUCGUUAAUAGCGGCCUCGUUUGACGUUAGCUGCAGAAGAAGCACCGGCUAACUCCGUGCCAGCAGCCGCGGUAAUACGGAGGGUGCGAGCGUUAAUCGGAAUUACUGGGCGUAAAGCGCAUGCAGGUGGUUUGUUAAGUCAGAUGUGAAAGCCCGGGGCUCAACCUCGGAAUUGCAUUUGAAACUGGCAGACUAGAGUACUGUAGAGGGGGGUAGAAUUUCAGGUGU
Molecule: ribosomal RNA, 426 nt
Filed under: Vibrio tubiashii
Lineage: Bacteria; Pseudomonadati; Pseudomonadota; Gammaproteobacteria; Vibrionales; Vibrionaceae
Description: bacterial SSU rRNA
Rfam family: Bacterial small subunit ribosomal RNA
Source: RNAcentral